This 446-nucleotide ribosomal RNA is filed under the name uncultured bacterium. RNAcentral's name for it is "bacterial SSU rRNA". It matches the Rfam family "Bacterial small subunit ribosomal RNA", at positions 392 to 836 of the family's 1533-position model. The record is from RNAcentral.
CCAUGCCGCGUGUGUGAAGAAGGCUUCGGGUUGUAAAGCACUUUCAGCGAGGAGGAAGGGUUCAGUGUUAAUAGCACUGUUCAUUGACGUUACUCGCAGAAGAAGCACCGGCUAACUCCGUGCCAGCAGCCGCGGUAAUACGGAGGGUGCAAGCGUUAAUCGGAAUUACUGGGCGUAAAGCGCACGCAGGCGGUUUGUUAAGUCAGAUGUGAAAUCCCCGCGCUUAACGUGGGAACUGCAUUUGAAACUGGCAAGCUAGAGUCUUGUAGAGGGGGGUAGAAUUCCAGGUGUAGCGGUGAAAUGCGUAGAGAUCUGGAGGAAUACCGGUGGCGAAGGCGGCCCCCUGGACAAAGACUGACGCUCAGGUGCGAAAGCGUGGGGACAACAGGAUUAGAUACCUGGUAGUCCACGCUGUAACGAUGUCGACUUGGAGUUGUGCCCUUGAG